RNAcentral lists this ribosomal RNA (459 nucleotides) under uncultured bacterium. RNAcentral's name for it is "partial 16S ribosomal RNA". It matches the Rfam family "Bacterial small subunit ribosomal RNA", at positions 338 to 795 of the family's 1533-position model. The record is from RNAcentral.
CCUACGGGAGGCUGCAGUGAGGAAUAUUGGUCAAUGGUCGGGAGACUGAACCAGCCAAGCCGCGUGCGGGAGGAAGGUACAGAGUAUCGUAAACCUCUUUUGUCAGGGAACAAAGACUGGGACGCGUCCCCGGAUGAGUGUACCUGAAGAAAAAGCAUCGGCUAACUCCGUGCCAGCAGCCGCGGUAAUACGGAGGAUGCGAGCGUUAUCCGGAUUUAUUGGGUUUAAAGGGUGCGCAGGCGGUCUGUUAGGACAGCUGUCAAAGCCCGGGGCUCAACCCCGGCCCGCCGGUGAAACGGGCAGUCUCGAGUUGGAGAGAAGUAUGCGGAAUGCGCGGUGUAGCGGUGAAAUGCAUAGAUAUCGCGCAGAACUCCGAGUGCGAAGGCAGCAUGCCGGCUCCACACUGACGCUGAGGCACGAAAGCGUGGGUAUCGAACAGGAUUAGAUACCCCAGUAGUC